Gasterosteus aculeatus aculeatus (three-spined stickleback) is the source of this 26755-nucleotide long non-coding RNA. NCBI's taxonomy places the organism in Eukaryota, Metazoa, Chordata, Actinopteri, Perciformes, Gasterosteidae. The record is from Ensembl.
CUUUCUUAAACGAAAAGUAUAUUUUUCACAUAAAAAACAAACAAGACACUUUUGUUAUAUACAGCUUAUUAAAUUAAAUUCUGGGAUCCAUUUCUUUGAUAAAAAGCUUACAUGUACAUUUCAGGGAGAUAACAGGCACAAUAAAACAAACAGACAUUUAGGUAAUUUAAGUAUCGUACAACAUUUUAAACAUCUUAAAAGACUUGAUGUACCACAAAUUAUAGUUAAGUGAUUAUCAUUAAUGAUAUAAUAAUAUACUUCAUCAUUUAAAUGUACAGUAUGUUAAAGUUGCACAACAAUGUAAGAACAGUUACCGAUGUAGAAGUUCUUUGUAUCUGUGCAUUUACAGAAUACUUUGGCUGUUUUUGAAACAAUUUACAUUACAAUUACAUAGGAGUUUAUACCCCUCUGUCUUGCUCCCGUAGGUUAAGGAGGCCCUCGACCGGUAUGUAGAACAGAUCUGUUCAAAAGCUAUCACUUAUCUUUUAAACAUGUUCUGUUUUUAUUGAUCAUACAGGUCCUGAUCCCUCUCGCAUAAACCUUGAAUGAUAUUAUCUUACUAAUGGAAUACAAACCACAAUAACUGUGAGUAAAGCAAAGCACCUCUCCUUGUUUCUCUGGGCCUACUCUCAUCCAGAAGCGACUCCUUCAGCCCUUGCACCAUUGUUCUUUCCCUACCCAUAUGCCUAAUUAGAUGCCUUUGAUAAAGUAUGAGCAGAGACAGGAACCGGGUUGGUGUGAAUCCUCUAAUGCACCCUCCAGUGGCUCUCACAUUGAUCCCUUUCUCUGUGAAGCUGCCAUGCCUCAGCGUGGCCUAUCAUAAAAGACAACAGUGCCUGGAUGGAAUAAGAAUUCAAAAAGAAGGUUGAGGUUGUUUUAUUUUAGUACAUGCCAACGCCUGACAGCCGUACGGCUGUCAUACUAAUGCAAUCUAAUUGAAAGCCAAACAGAUCUAUAACAUGGUUUAAGCCACAAGUGUCAAACUCACGGCCUGCGGGCCAAAUCCGGCCCGCCGGAUGACUUUGUUAUUGUGAGAAUUACAGAAGGACAAAAAUUGCAUUUCGAUAAAAGUAGCUGCUAUUCGUAAAAGGUCCACUGGGUCGCACUCUGUGAGUGAGCGCAUGCGUUAGACCAGGAGGACCAGGUCGAUCACCAACGCAGUGGUGGUAGAUCACCUUACAUUGGAAAAAAAAUAAAAAUCACGUCAGGUCACUUCUGACAGUCUAGAGGCUCGUUGUUGUUUUUUGUAUCGAUUCCCGGUAUGCAGCACUGUUUGGUUACCGAUACUGCUCGUAAUUAUUAUUAUUCGGGCAAACUGGACAAGCAGGUGAUGACGACGGACAAAUUUGAUCAAUUAAUCAGUCAAUUAUUAAUCAAUUAUUGAAAUGAAAGGUAGGUCUUAAGUUGAGCUACAUGACAGUCUGGUAAGGUGAAUAAUUUUGCGGAUGGGUGCCCUUUUGCUUUGGUUUGUGCAGCUGCCUCCUAAAAUGUCUGUGCACGUGCCUGCCAGGCAGAAACGGAACCGCUUGAAAAUGACUGUGUCCUCCCCCCUGUCGACCAUCCGCGCGGCACCCCCUCGGACCAUCUGAGCGCCAACCCCACCCCCCACCCUAUGAUGUCCCCCCAGAUACUGCCCACUUGAGAUCAAAGUGGGCAGCAUCUGGCCCGAGCCUAAAAUGAGUUUGACACCCCUGGUUUAAGCAGCUAAACAUGAGCCCUCCUGGGUGCUGUUUAUAUAACACACAAGAUUGAUAUGCUUACUAUAUAUUUAACCUGAUCCAGUGACAUCAAUUUUCCAAGACAGGUCUUGGAAGGUACAUGAGUUACGUUUUAAUUUCCCCAAGUAAUUUGCGGCCUGUGCAAUAGUGGGGUGGAGGGCAUGUUUUUUUGCAGGGUGGGCGAAGCAGGCCUGCAGUGGUGAUUGUGGAUUGCCUUGUACGAGCCUUAAAUACCAGUGCCGUCACUGGGCUGUAGCCAUUGUAGCUUCUCUGUGUGCAGACUCUGGGCUCAGCAUUUCAAACAGUUCAUCAUGUCAUUUUGUUGUAUCCAUUAGGAAAAUGUCAGACUUUUAGACAGGUUUCAAUUUUAAAAGUCAGAGGGUGCCCCCUUUAAACUGUAGUAUUCCCGGAGGCUCAAUCCCAAGCCGCAGUGUAUUCUAUGCUUUUAUACUCAAGUCAUCCAAUUAUUGAAGAAAGACUGGGUAUGCUUUUCACUGUGGCUUUUGGUUAAAAUUAUUAACUGGAAUUAUAUGUUCAAUGGAGAUUAAAUAGUUUUAGUCAAAUCCAUACUAUUGGCAACUGGCACAAAAUAUACAUGUACAGCACACAUAUAAAUGCAGUGUUUCUUUGUGAACCUUUAAAUUAAGUAGAAAACUCUUAGCUAUGAAAUGUUUUCUCCAAAUAAAAAGUUUGAGAGGUUAAAGGAUGAGAUAAAAAAAGCAUCAAGAUUUUGACCUCAGGAAUAUCGCAAAAGGGUCAAAACGUUGUCAUUAACACUGUUGCAUGGAUCAGUGUGCAAGCAUUACCUUCUUCUUAAUUAUUUGUUUCUGUUCUGGCUCUCUUCCUUCAGGUCCAGUAAGCAGCAGUUUACAAGUAUACAAUAUAAAAUAACACGCAAACACAUGCGCACACACACACACACACACACACACCCUCCACAUGCAUUAAUGUAUUUUGGAUUAGAUAUUAUUUUUUUGUUUAGCUAUUAGGACUUUUUUUAUUAAAAAGUAUUAUUGAUUAGUUUUCUUGGAAGUAAAUGAUGUUACUCUUUUUAAGGAGCAGUUUUCUGUAAUGUGGUUGAACUUGAACCUUCAAUUUCUUGCUUUUAACGAGUGAAUAUCAACUAUGAGACUUUAUUUAUCGUUUGGUUAUCAGUUCCUUUUCAGGGCGGUUCCCUGUUUUUAUGUAUUUUGUGAAUGCUAGUGUCGGUUGAGUCGAUUGAUCAGAGUAGCUACCUAUAGGAAAAGGGAGAAUGGGAGCUUGUAUGUUCAUGAUAACCUAAUGAAGAGACGUUUAACCACCUAAACAUGUACUGUAUUACAAGGUAACACAAUGCAUGUAUUGUAUUUUGUUACCUUUUCUGGCACCAGUAUGUUGUACUUUAUUUGACAUUCUUUUGAGGGGGAUUUUGUACUUCAUUAUUAAAAUACAUAUAUGUAGUUUCUCCCAUCCCUCCCAGUGCGAUGGUAUCCCUUUCACGAUUGUAAUCUAACCAUGGAUUGCAGACUUAUGUGAUAUAAGGCCAGAGGUCCUACAGAGCCAACAAGUCUGUAGAUGACGCAAUAAACAUGACCCUUCAUUUUAUUCUACAGCACUCAUCCCUUCCCUGCUGCAGGACAAACCCGCCCAGCUGCAUGUGCCUGACUCCACCUGCUAGUGGAUCACAGACUUCCUGUCCAAUAGGAAGCUGCAUGUCAAGCUGGGGAAACAUGUCUCAGCCUCCAGGACCAUCAGCACCGGUUCCCCCUAAGGCUGCGUUCUUUCCCCUCUGCUCUUCUCCCUGUACACCAACAGCUGCACCUCCAAUCACCAGUCCGUCAAGCUCCUGAAGUUUGCGGAUGACACCACCCUCAUUGGACUGAUCUCUGGUGGGGACGAGUCCGCCUACAGGUUGAUUGAGAUUUCCCAACUAGUGACGUGGUGCAGCAAAAACAACUAAGGUGUUGUGAAUUAAUCUUUAAAUUUCCUGUUGUAGAAAAAUUACAUUAGAUUUAAUUUCAGAUGUGAUCACACACACACCUUAACCCCCGUCACCACUGUGGAGUCCUUCCGUUUCCUGGACUUCAUCAUAUCGCAGGACCUCAAGUGGAACCCCUACAGUUUGCCUACAGAGCUGUCUGUAGACGAUGCUGCCAACAUGGCCCUCUAAUUCAUCCUCCAGCAUCUGGACUCCUCAGGAACCUAUGCACGGAUCCUGCUUGUGGACUUCAGCGCUGCUUUCAACACCAUCAACCUUUCGCUGCUGCGGGAAAAAAGCUCUCUCAGCUGCACGUUUUUAAAAGAUUCAUGUUCUCAGCUAUUUCCAUCAUUCAAUUGUUAUUAGGCCGGACAGUGUGGAGCCGUAAGUCACCAGGCCUUCAAGUGAUUCAAUUACCAGGAGUACGAAACAGUUGAACACUAUGAAGUCCACAUUAGGUAGGUUAAUCCCCUAAAUAUUCCCAUCACCAACACAACUUUAGAUACACCUCCACAUCUGCUGAGACAGAAAGGGUCCAGACGAGCUGCGCCACAAGACAGAAAUUUGGGUUGAUACUGGAAUUUCACUCAGUCAGAUAAAAUAAACCAGUCGAGCCUCGGAUGCUGGAUAAAUAAGCAUUGCAGUCUUGCUUUGGGGAAACCAGCGCUUUCCAUCUCAAUGAUGUAACUGAUUGUUCCUUUUCCCCACUGAUUAAAAGGAGGUUAAAAUAUACAUGGGUUAUUACAUUCUACUGGAAAAAUACCCCUAAUCCUUGAAAAAUAAUCAGCAAAAUUAUUUAGAUUGGCAAAGACUCACACAAACCGGAAAAUGGUAGAGGCUCUGCUCCUUUUGGUGUGGAAAAACACUGGUCCUGAGAGGCCUAAACUGUAAAGCAAAAACUUCCUUUUUCACUACAUUAAAAUAGGGUUUUCUAGAAAUUACUGCACUGUUAUUAAAAUCCAGUAAGAGCUUUUGUCUGUGUAACUGUUUCUGUGACAAAUGAAAUCAUCAUUGUCUUACAAGUCACAGGAGAAACAUUUAACAGUUCUCUAAAUCCUGAGAAAGCAGAAUGUAGGUUCAGGUAAGUACAGAACAUGAUAUACCUUCAUUCUGUAUCUAUAAGCAAAACAUUGAAAAUAUAUUAAAUAUGAAUAUUAUGUGAAUGUAAUAAAAAAGGAUAUUUGUUUGUUGAUUUUAAAAAUGAAAAUAGCCUUAAAUUACGAUAGAGCCAUUUAAAUAAUUGUGUUAAAUGUGUAUUAAUUUGGUCUGUUGCAGUUAACAAGGUAAAACCUAAGACGAUUCAGGUGGCUUUUAAUGAUGGUUUUAGAAUCUUGCUCAAGCUCCCAAGACAGUUGGGUGAAGGUCAGGUCAUAUUUUUGUGACUUCUGAUGUUUCCAGCUUUCAUACUGUGUGAAGGAAUUUUAUUUACAGAGUCAAAUGUCGAUUAAAUAAUUCACACAAUGUAAUGGCAUAAAAGCCUUAACUGAUCGAUACCAGGUAUUCCUAUUGUUUUUGACAUUGGACAUCUGUAUGUCUUUUCUUGCAUUUAGUUUUGUUGUAUUUGUCUUUUUAGUGUUGUAUUAUGACUGAUGUGUCCCUAAAUAAAGUUGAACAUAAUUAAAAUAUACGAUGAGUGGCCAUGGUAGGACAAUCAAACAAGUGUAUAAGAUGGGUUUGGUGUGAAUGUCUUUUAUAAUUUAAAUUCCCUUAUUUGGUUGAUAAAUAAUAUGAACAGGCAAUGUUUUACAUUUAUCUCAAAAUGAAUUUGCUUUUGAAAAAUGUUUGUAUAUAAAAGCAAUUAUCAGGGUUGUUUUGUCCAGAUAAAAAAAAGAAAAAGAUAAGUUCAAAUGAUCGUUUUUGUUCCACUUGUAAAGUAGCAGCAAUCAUUGUCUUGUAGAAAAUGGUGGUAUUUUCCCAAUUUCAUUAACUGGUAUCAAUAGUUACUUGCGCAUUGUUUAAAAAUAAAAAAGAGACCCGUGCACACACAGAAAAACUAUUAUUGUCUUGUCUACUAAAGUUCACAGCCAGUGCCAACCGCCAGUGUCUCCUUUCAUCUUCCCCACAGUGAGAUGAAGCGAGGAUGAGAUGAGAUGAGAAAGAGCGAGCGAUGAAAAGAGCUGCAGAGUUUGCCUGAAAAGACACUUAAGAGGUAUUCCUUCUCACAUUAGGUCUUAGGCAGAAGAACACUUAUUUGCUCAUUUUGCUAUAUCUAUUAAUGGAGUCCUUUAAAGAGGCACAACAUUACAGACCAGAAUAGAGAGUGUUCACAAAUUAACACUGUUCGUCAAACAAGAUAAAGGAAAGAAACUGUUGACAAUUUAGAAACAGUCUUAAUCUAACCUUCAUGCAGCUUCAUGCCAUUUGAGGGGACAGUGUGUAGGAAAUAGCAAUGUUGCAGAUGACAACCAGCCCAGCCCCAUUAUUACGCUACUUUAGAAGUAAUAGAGGUCAAAUUGUGGCUGGCGGUACCAUAGUUCUACAUUCUGUUGUUGCCAUGGAUUCACAAGCAUGUCAUAGAAUGAGGUGGCCUUAUGAUGAUGUCUAAACAUGAAAGACUCUUCUGGGCUACUGAUAUCCAUAUAGAUACUGAUUCCAAGCUUUCAGUUUCAGGUGAUAAUACUCAAAAAAUGCUUCACUCUAUUAGAGGUCAUUAUGGUAUCUUAAUCAUCAGAAACACCUGCUGGUGGAUUGUAUUGUCUCAUUCAUCAAGAUCUCUCAAUAAAAAGGCAUGGGAAAAUGCAGUUUUAUUAACAGAGAACUGAUAGCCGAGCAAAUUUUACAAGUCAAUAACUUGAAUGAAAGUCUUGUACACUAUGCUCACUUGCAGGCCCCUAAUAGCUGGGUGGGUUAUGGACAGCUGUCAAUGAAUCGCAAUGUCAAACAGGCUGAAAAAGUUGUUGGCACGUUCUUGAGCAUUCAGCAACAAACUAGCACCCAAAAUAUUAUGCACUCUUGGUGCAACAUAACACCAAAUUAGCCAUGGGCAGACACUGAGAUUCAUACAAACAGCCACAAACCCAACAUUUCAUAAGAAAUAUCUCUAUUGAACUAAAGAGGGUUGUUUUCCAAAUAAUGCUUGUCCACAAACACGUUACAUUUCAGGGAAUUUAUUAUCGUUCACCAUGAACCUUUUCAGUCUAUUGUACUGUUAAUACAAAGCACUCCUCUAAGGUCAGGCCUGCCGCCUCUACAGAUAAAAAUCCCUAUUUUCUGGACAAGAUGCUUUUAGAUAAAAGUGACUGAAAAAUGUCUUUAUUAGUUUCAUUUAUUUUAGAUUUAAAAAGGUUAAGGAAAUCGGGACCAGCACAAGCUCUACAGGCAAAGACGAAGAAUACUACACCCUGUACGUGUUCUCCAUCAGCUACUCCAGGCCCAUUAAGGACCGACACGACCGUCAUUUCCGGCGUACAGGCAUUGGACAGCUCGAUAAACACCAUGAGGCUGGCCUCCAACAUCUGAGAAACGCAAAGCCUAUUCCUUCCACAUCAACCACCAUCACAGCCGCCCGGGAUAUCCACGCAGGUCAAAGUAACGCAGCAUUCACUGGAAUCGGCAGUCCCUGGUCUUCCACUGGGUAGGCCAUGCAUAUAAUGAGCAGCUAACAUAUCGGCACGCUCAGAAUGAGAGAAGAAGUCAUUUUGCUAUGCACAGCAUUGCAUGAGGAAGCGUGUUCCCGUGCUGCUAGCUGGACUUCUUUGUCCUAACAGCCACAACCAAUCCUGUGGCAGAGCGUCAGACCUCAGUGCAUUCAUUGGAAUAAAAUCUCUACAACAGUGGUGUGUUCUGAUACUGCAACGUCGAGACAGAUGCAGGGGGGUUUCUGUCAAAGCCAGAUCCUGGCCUCUUUUCUUCUGCUUAUUCCAUUCAGUGCAACAAUCAAGCGGCGCCAUUAAUAUCAACUUAGGGUUACACGUUUUGGUUAUAUAUAUAUAUAUAUAACAUACAUACAUACAUACACAUAUAUAUAUAUAUAUAUAUAUAUAAUAUAAUAUAUAUGUGUGUAUGUAUGUAUAUAAUUAUAUACACACAAACACACACACAGUACUUCCAUUAGUAUUAUUUUUACUUUUGUCUUAAUCCUUUUAGCCAUGUGAAACAGAGAGGAGUUAAGUAGUAGGAUAAGAAUAAUGCGAUUCAACACAUCUUUCAGAACUAUGAUUAAUCACAGCAUUUAUUUAACUUUGUCCUGCAUCAUACAGCUGGUGACACAGGCAUUUAUGAUAUAAAGCUCAGUUUCUACAGAGACAUUCAACACAUUGGACAGGGGGCCAUCUGGGUCUGCUAGACUUCCAACUUCCUGCUGAGUUAGUGCGCGUUCCAGCUGAACUUCAAAUAAAAUGAGUGAAUAAAUCCAUCCUGAUUUGCGUGCUGCUAUGCUUCGUGUUACUGGAGACUCCACAGUUGCUGUGGUGACUGGUUUCCCUCAAUCCAUUGUGGGACUGGUUUCCCUCGGUGCGUAGUCGUGGCAGGUCUAGCCAUCCUGGAUAACCUGAAGGUGUUUCUGUACGUGGACCAGCACCAGUGCAGAGCAUCAAGACAUUUCGUGUUCAGGAUUGAGAAGGCCUUCUCCCUCACGGUGGGUAAAGAUGGUGUGGAAGAGAUAGUAUGGCGAAGGAUGGCGAAGUACGCCAUUAUAAACGUCUCUUCUAUUCUGAUGGGGAAAGAAUUGACUUAGUCUGCCUACAAUGUUUGUUACAAAUAUUUGUGUAAAUUGCUGAAUUAAUGUCGGUGAACAAAAAAAUUGAAUUUAUUUUAGUAUUUAUUUACACAUUUAUUUGUUUAUCCAAAAAUGUAAUUAAGUAUUCACUCUUACUCAUUUAUUUAUUUCUACUUCAUCAUUUUCUGUCCUCCAUAGGUUUUACUGUUGAUCUGCCAGCUUGGAAUCAAGUCUGAUUUUGCAGUCAAACAUGAUUAGUCAAGCUGACUUCAAUUCCUAUGUUGCGGUCUAAGAUUAUCGAUUCCCAGCAUCUCGGCUCGUCAUCCUACAAACGGAUGGAGUUCAGUAAUAAAUCAUUGUUAAAAAGUCUUUCCCGAUUGAAGAUUCCCUCUUAGUCCAUUUAUCCUAAUAAAGAAAGAAGAUUGACAUUAAAAGAGCACAGAAUAACCCCCACCCUAAACACAGGAAAGAUUAUACACAACAAGACAUUUACAGUACAAAGUCUGACUAUAUAGUGUGUGUGCCAGCUCCCUUUGUGCUUAUGCUAAUCAUUUUUGAUUGAGGUUUACAACCUUGUUUUAGGAUUCUGUCUCUGCCUGACCCCUUUUGUACUUCUGCCUUCCACCAUUUUUGUGUACCAAACCUUGUCUUGAGAAUUGUCGCAUUUCUGCAGAAUGUUCUACCUUUUGGCCGCUACGCUCUGAAGGAUUGUGAGUUCUCUAUAAAUGCCUACUGGCUGCCAGGAAGGCCGGUCUCCAUGACGAGGGUAAUUUUGGAUUACACAGUUAUAUGUAUGCAAGAGUGUGUGUGUCCCGAUGUGAAAGGGCAGUCAGUGUGGUGAAUCCCUGUCAUUUCCCGAGUCACAUUCUGCUUAACUCUGAGUGGGUCUUCCGGAUGGUGCUUCUAGCUGCAGUCACAAUGGGGGCAAAGAGGAUUAUGGUUUCCCCCACCGACAGUCAGUGUUUUUAAUUCACAGAACAAUAAAAAAAUGUGUUGGGUCACAAAAUCAGAUUAUUUACUUUACGUUAAUAGUACUGAAUAAUACUCCAUUUCUGGAGAUAACGCAUAUAUAAGAAGAGGACGUUUUUUCUCUCUCUCUCUGAGUGGAAGGACUGCUGAGUGAACGGAGCGUGAAGUGAAUUGUUUGAAUUGUGUUUUCUAUCUGUUAUUUCGUUUUAUUUUCGGUGUGGUUCUGGUGUGUGUUGUGGUGUGAAUGCGUGGUGGUGUGUAUGUGUGCCUUUUGUCUCUUUCUGUGUUAGUUUGUGCGUGUUUGUAGCCGAUCGGCAUGUCGAACCUCACGGGGCUGACGCAGAAGCACGGCUUGUGAAGCACGGGAAGGUGGUGUCCCAGUUAAAGAAGGUGUCCUCAGGGUGCGAUUCCCCUUUGCUGAGACAUGUGGUCUCCACAGACAGCUCCACAUGGUCCUCACCAAACCCCAGGCUCUCAGCCUGGUGAUCAAGGUGAGGAUCGAGGGGUUUGACUGUUUGCCACAUCGGAUGAUGGGAGGUGUUUCCGUUGUGGUGGAGCGGGACACCUGGCGAGGGUUUGUCCGGAGAAGAACCCCUCCACUCGGGACCAGAACCGGGGAGAGGCCAGAAAGGGAGAGGGGGGAGGUGAAGAUCAGCAGGUCGGUCUGGUGGGAGAGGAGAUGGGGGAGAUCCAGCAGGUGGGUGAAGAGCUGGAUGAGGGGGCGAGUGUGGGGAUGGGGAAGGCCCAGCUGGUCGGUCAGUCAGUGAGGUGGGUGAGGGGGUGAGUGCGGGAGUGACUGUGGGGACGGGUGAGGCCCAGCCGGUUGGUCAGGUGAGUGAGGGGGUGAGUGUAGGGAUGGGUGAGGCCCAGCCGGUCGGUCAGGUGAGUGAGGGGGUGAGUGUGGGGAUGGGUGAGGCCCAGCCGGUCGGUCAGGGGGGUGAGGGAAUGAGUGUGACAGAGUGAAAGAGGGGAUGGGGGUCCAACAGGAAGCUGAAGGAGCUCGGGGGGCGCUCGUUGGUGGGGGUGCGUUCCGAGGUGGAAUCUCGGACAGCGAGGAGGAUAUGGAGGAGGGGGGGGGUGGGCUUUAAGGUCCCCCACCUGAAGAGGAAGACGAGGGCCAGCAGGGGAGGCUCUCAGGCAAAAAGAGGAGGGGGGGGCGGCAAGCAGAGGGGAGGCGGGAGGUGGGGAGUCCUCCUCGGGGUGGGGCUCUGCCACCAGCAUCUCCUCCGGUGGGAUGGUCACCAGCAGAACGAGAGAAGAGUGAGGUUGGAGGAUUACUUCUCGCUCCGCUCGGCAUGGCAGCACCAAGAAGGGAGCUGGAGACUACACCCAGCAGGGGUGGCCCACUGAUAGAGGAGGAGAUGCUGGAGGACAACGGUGGAGUCCAGAUCGACCAAUUGAUUAUAUUAUAUUGAUCAUACUAUAUACAUUAUACUAUAUUAAUUAUACUAUAUAUGUUUUAUAUUAUAUACCUGCUAUAUUGUCUACUUAUUGAUAUUGUUUUACGUUAAAUAAAGGUAGGAGUGCUGAGUGAACGGAGCGUGAGGUGAAUUCUUUGACAGCGUUUUCUAUCUGUUAUUUCGUUUAUUUUCAGUGUAGUUCUGGUAUGUGUUGUGGUGUGUAUGUGUGACUUUCUUUCUUUCUGUGUGAGUUUGUUCAUGUUUGUAGCCAAUCAACAUGUCAGACCUCACGGGGCUGACGUCUCUCUCUCUGUCUGCGGACCGGCGGGGACCACCGCUUUGGAGGAUGUAGCACCCCUGCACCAGUUAUAUGCAAUGAGCUACUCUUUGUAUGAAAACCUAUGCAACUGACAUACUUCUAAGAGCUGAAGAAUUGGUGAUUGCACAUAUACAUUUUAUGUUUCUUGAUUUGUGUUAACAUUAGUCAUUUACAUUUAAAAAGUUGUAGAAAACUGUAGUCAACUUUAACAAAAUUUACCAAGAACAAAAAUUGUGGCUAAUGAAACUGCUGAGUGGCUAGUACCUUUGGAAAACCACUAGCUGUAGUGGCUGGUGAGCAGAAACGUUAAUGGAAAGCUCCGACUGGUUAUAUAAUGAUGAAAUGAUCUACUUUUAUCCGACAUAGAACUCUUCUCUGUUCUGGUCUUUUUGGACCUUGGUUCUACGUUUGAAACCAUUGAUCAUUGCAACCUUUUACAUUUCAACUCAAUUCAUUCCAUGUCUAACAUAUUUUGGCAAUAAAUGUUCCUGAUUCCAGAAAUUACAAAUUUGAUCAGAGGGCUUUACAGUCCAUACACAUGAGACACUCUCUGUCCCAAAACAGUCACAUUGGCACAAGAAAAACCUCUAAAAACAGGAAGAAACAAGGAGGACAUUUUAGAGAAAAAGGCAGAGGAGGGAUUCUCCCGGGUAGGAUAGAAUGCAAUGGAUAUCAUGUGUACGGAAUCAACACCGUAAACACAUGUAGAAUAUGUUCAAUUCCUACAAGAAAAAUAUUUCAAAUAUUGAAAGUAGAAAGACAGAUAUAUCAGAUGUAACCACCAUAAGAUAUGACCACCAGAUGUAACCACCAUCCGCAGAAACCUGUGAGGAGGGAAAGCACAAAGACGGCGAGGAAAGAAGAAGCAAAGUCAGUAACAUUAAUUAAUGAUGGUAGUAAUAGUAGUGCAAGUAAUAUUAAUGAUGAUAGUGAUAGCACAAGCAGGUAUCAGCAGGGCCAUGGCAGGAGGCAGGACCAGGGUCCAGAUAUGACAAUGAUCGAUGGAAAACCUGUGCUGCAGCAAAGCAAAAAGACUUCGGGGAAGAAGCUGAAGCUGAGGUAGUGAUGUGCAUUAAUGAGAUGUGAAUUCUUAUAGAAGCUGUGGGCAAGGAGACAGGAGAUUGACCAGGUUGACGAUCUGUGGAGAGAACAGUUCAGGAAAUAAAUUGCGUUUUGGUAUAGGUGUAGGGGCAUUAUUUUGGUUAAUAGCUAGUAGGAAAAUAAAUCAUUGACAUUAUUAGAAUUAUUAAUAAUUACUAAGAUAAUUAACAAAACAAAUACAUAAUGGGGCACAACCCUAAAAUGGGACGAAUAACCAAACCAUGAAUUAAUUCUCAUAAUCUAUAUUCACUCAUUAAGACAUUACAUGUCAUUUUGCUGGCGCUUUUAUCCAAAGUGACUUUCAUUGCAUUUUAACACAUCCCACACCGUGGGAGCAGUGUGGGCGCCCGGGGAGCAGUUAGCGGUUUGGGUGUCUUGCUCAGGAACACUUGGACAUGGGACAUUGAGCAGUAAAGGUUCGAAAUCUGCCAACUCUGUUAAUCCUCAAUACGCAUCGAUUUGGAGUUGGUCUAAAGGAUAUCGUUGCCUUAACCCAUCAUUGACGCAAGUCAAUUAAGAAAGAAAAUGUACUGGAGACAGAAAGGUUGGUUUGAAGAGAAACUACAGUCUUAACCUUACCUAGACACAAGUCGAUUCGGAAAGUUGGUUUGAAGGAGAUCUGUCAUCUUAAUAAAUCAUCAGCGCGAGUUGAUUCAGAAAUAGUUUUUAGAGGAGGAAUGUCUUCUCAACUCGGUCCAGAGCACAGGGAUCCCUGCGGUGUCUGUGGCUUUACCGAUCUCAGGGCUAAUCCAGCAAGAAGGAAAUCGCAGGUGUGAGGACAAAUUCCUUGCAGGGCUUCAACAUUUACGUUGUUCUUUCUGUAUGCAUCAAAUCUAUUGCAUUUUUUCCAUCUUGUCUUUAACAGAGGACUACACAGACUACUUAUAAAUGGAUUGUAUAUCUUGUUUCUAGUCUUCCGAACACUCAACGCUCUUUAAAACUACAUGUCACCAUUCACCAAUUCAUACCGACUCAUAUACUGAAUACAGUAGUCACAGCUACGGGAGCAAUUUUGGUGGUUAAGAGUCAAAGGACACAACGGCAUGAGCUAACAGAGCAGGGGAUCAAAGAGCCAAUCCUCCAAUUGUCACAAACAUAUUCAUCACUCAGGGGAUUGUGAUAUGCAUAAUCACUCUCAAAAGGGUCCGAUCAGACAGAAUAGAGACAGAGCCUGCAAUUAGAAACACCAAUGCAUCGAUUGCUUUAUAACAAGUAUAACAUUUAAAAAAUAUAUAUCACAUGAAUAAAAUUAGGAAAAAACUCACUUCGAAAAAUUAAACAACACUGCUAGCAAAGUAAAAAGUAAAGCUAAUCUGAACCCUGCUGAGGACUGAACAACCAAACUUGUCAGCCUAAAAACAUUUUGUUCGUUUCCGUCUGCACUAUUGUUUAGUCAGAUAACAACUUCCAAAUGAAAUAGGAAGUCAACCAAAAAUUACUUUUACUGUUUGUAUAAAAAGAACAACAAAUCAUAAUAUAUCCCUCCCAUCAGGGUCAGCUGCCCACAUUGUUUGGAAAACCUGAAAAUCCAGAAUGCUCAACUUUGGUGCAAGUUUUACUCGGAUAUUCUGUCCAAUAAACGAGUUGUUUAAACAUUCGGGUUCAUGUUAAAAUAACAGAAGUUGCGUUGAGUCACAUACGUAUUGAGCUUACAUUUUACAUUACGUUUUUCAUUUAGCUGACUACAAUAAGUGCAUUCGACCAAGAGGAUCAAGAAAGUACAAUUUCUUCAAGAAUGCCAAACUACUAAGAGCAGUGCUAAUAAAGUACAGUCCAGGUAUAGGCGGUAGAAGUUUUUUUUUAGUUUGUGUCGGAAGCUCUAUAGGCUCUUCUGGUGUCUUUAGGUCAUCGGUAUGAAUGUUUUGAAACAAAUUUAGGCCGCUAACCAGUGAAGGGAGGGGAGGUGAUCUCUGUGGCCGAAUUUAGGUUAAAGACCAGUCAAGCUGCUGCAUUCUGGAUACAAUAGUCAAGGUGUGAGAUAACACACAGACAAGAGCCUGUAACAGAAUGUGCGCCGCCUUCUGAGUGAGAAGGGGACGUUUUCUCUUAUUGUUGUGCAGCAUGUAUCUACAUGAUUGUGUUGUUGCUGCAAUGUUUGUAGUGAGGGAGUUGGAAGUUGACUGUUGAGUGUCCCGCUGAGGACUCCCGCAGAAGUGUUAGGGUCUGGACAAAGUUGUCAAAGGUCGGGUUGUUGAGAGAGCCUUUCUUGUCAAGGUUAAAUCUUCAGGCAGUGUGCGGCCAACCCACUGAGAGAUGUCAGUUCAGCAGGCAGAGAUUAUUGCUGCUACCUGUCUCAGAGGGAAAAAAACAAAGGAGUUGGGUGUCAUCAGUAUAGCUAUGGUGGGAGAAGCCAUGUGAGUUGAUGACAGAGCCGAGACAGUUGGUGUACAGAGAAGCCUUUGGGCACCCAGGACUCAGCCUUUGGGCACCCAUGUGGUGACAUAUACACAUAUAAUAAUUACACAGCAUUAUUUUUUGUUGGUAUGGCUAUGACCAGUGUAUGAAGACAGCCUGGACAAGUUGUAUACAUUUAACACAUUAUUACGGUUACACUGGUGUUUCCCUGAUGUCCAGGUGACCUAGUGGUAAAGUCAUGAAGGAUCUCACGUAUUUAAUUAACCGUCCCAUAUAUUAUUCUGUACUUUUGGGUGUUUUUCUGUUUUCAUGAUUUUGACAUUUUGACAUUUUUUAACAUUUCCCCGUGAACAAAGAUGAUGAGGUUUAAAAAGUGUACUUUAUAAUCUUUUGGCUUUAUUGAAGUUUGUCAGUUUUCACAAAAGAAACCACAGCUGUCUCGUUUGGGAAAUAUCUUUUCAUCCAAACUGCCCCCCAAAAACUGUGACUGCAUUCUAUCAUUAUGCCAUACUAUCGCCUCCGGUGUCAGCAGGCUGUAAAAUGGUAAUAAUUACUUUGUAAUGUUAAAGUAAAUUAGGUGUGGCUAUUAGCAUCACUUGCUAAUUAGACAUCCAGUGCAAAUAUUCUGUGUGCCAAUCUGCAAUCUGCCACCUACUGAGAAGUUCUUCUUUUAGCUUUUAGUGAGGCUGACAGGGAUUUUACUUGGCCAGAAUACAGAUUGCCCAUCUGUGGUAUGUCUAAUAAACCUAUUCUGGAAGUAAAAGUAGCCUCAGGACAACUAAUUCUUCCAUGUGGAUAUUCUCUGUGUGUGUUACAGACUGUGUAUAUAUUUAGCGCCCGUGACCUGUUUCUCAAUCUGUUUGUGUACUUUUUUGUUGUUGUUUCCUACUGUUGUGUAAUUACACACUACUGUACAUGCUGAACAACCAAACCAUCCCUGGAUACCGCACGGCACAUCUGGUUAGCAAGCCCUGUCCUCGGCCAGAGCCUCAGGGGUGGACUGUGGAGUUGGAUGAGGGAUGCAUUAUUGCUGGCCUGGGUUCAGCCAAGGCACCCCCACUAAGCCAACUCUUAUCACGGCCCGGAAAAUCCUGGACCACAAGGAUGAAUGUUAUUCAUCUUGACUUGAAAAUGUGUCUAAUGCGUCCCUCACAGGCUCUCUUGCCUCGAUAUAUUUGUGAUAUCUUUUAUUAAUGUAAUUGUUUUUACCCAUGAUUUACUUGACAAAGACAUUUGGAUGAGGUGUUUCCUGUGACCUAGGUAAUAAAGCUCUUUCUGAGAUAUUCAUAAGAAAGGGGAGCCACAGGAUCUGAAAUAUGAGGGAAGAAAUGGGAAGGGUGUGUGUGUGUGUGUGAAAUAAGAAGGGGGAGAUAUGAGUGAGGAAGGGGGGCUGAGCUAACAACCCUAAUCAGACCAUGUGUGGCCACAAACUGGCAGUUGCUAGGAGGCUGUGUUUUUACCAGGUGUUCCUAGUGUAGUAAAGCCUCUGUCUGUAGGUACAUCUAUAUAUGUGGAGGUAUGUGUGUAUUGGUUAGUUAGAUACAACUAAGAAAGCACUCAAUGCCACGGUUUGGGUUCACGUCUUGUUUUAUUUUGUAGUAGCAUCAUGUCUCCCUGGGUCCCGUCACUUCCUGCCUUGUCCUGUCAUUCCCCCCGUGAUUGUCUGUCGCAUCAAGAUUGUUUCCAGCUGUGUCCAAUCACCUGCACCUCCCUAGUGUAUUUAAACCAUGUGUGUCUAUUGUCACUUGUCGCGUCAUUGUUAAUUGUAUGGAAGCCCAUGGUCAUGGCUUAGUUCCUGUCUCCUGCUCCUCGACUGGGUUUUUGCCCCUUGGCUUUUUUGAGUUUGGAAUUUUUGACGAUUAAAGUCCCUUUUUCUUUUUGAAAAACUCUGCGUUUGAGUCCUGCCUUUAUCCCCAGCACCUUCUUGACACUCAAUCAUAAUCGCAGUCAUGGAACUUGGAAACUUAGUUUGUUCGCUCUGAAUAGAUACAAGCUCCAAAGGCCGGUCUCAUUUUUGGGGAUCGAUCUAUCAAACCAACAGAAUAUUACAGCAGAAAAUACUGUGGUAAUUACACAGCAUUUACCGGGCUCUGGGGCCUGAAAAUCUGCCCAAUAACAUAUUAUACCACAGAACCAUAUACACACUGCAUGUAGCGAAGCUCGGCAGGUCAUGAACAUACACUAUUAAAACUUUAAACUUCCUUAAACAAUACAGUAAACAUCAACACAAAAACAUCAACACAUGCUAACCUAACGUCUGCCCAGACAUCUAAGCCUUACUGGGCAUUGAUAGGGUUUGCUGUGUUUACUGCGUGACUUUCGUUUAACUCGACGUCCACGCCAUCCUUGUUGCAAGGAUUAAUUGGGGACCUUGGAAACCGUUGCGUUUCUUGAUGACGCAGUAGGUGUUCGCGCUCUCUAAGCUGGAGCAAAGGGGGUGGAAUAAGUUAUCUUCCUUUUUGAGCUGCUUGGGCCGAAAGUGAGGACUGAGGAAGCCGAAGCCUCUCGGGAGCAGUGAGAGGAUGGGUCUCACCGACGAGGGUUGGUCCGGGAAAUGUGGGGUUGGAUAGGGAAAGCUGGAGAGUCUGGAUCCCUGAUCCUAUCGGUCAACAAAGCCAAACCUGAAAGAAAGUUUACUGCAGACGCUGUCAUCUUAACCUGACCAUCAUGGGGCAUCAUCACCCACGUGAGUUGGUUCGGAAAGGUUGAUUUGAAGAGGACAGCUGAAUGGUGGCGGACUUGAAUCCUUAAUUCCAUUGUUUGACGCAGCCAAACUGUAAAGAACGUUUGUUGAAAAUACUAAAGACUUAAUCUUUCAAUGACCAGAGUCGAUUUGGAAGGGAAGAAUUCGUAGUUAUUUUUAACUCUGGCUUCUGGGGCUAUAUCACAAAGAGGGGGAGAAAUUGCACAUAGAUGCGAAGACCAAUUCCUUGAAGGGUUUCAUGUCCUGCAGCAGCAAGUCAUUCCAAAACUCUUUGUGUCGUGCCAUGGUACGGGCACACAGCUGGUAUCGCCGAGUGUAUUUAUAUUGCAUUCGAGUUUAAGUGCUUUCAGUGUUUUGUGGUGUACUGGGAGCAGAGCUGUUGUGCAGUCUGACAGCAGCAAAAAGGAAGUACGUGCAGUACCUUUCCUUCACACACCAGGAGGGGGGGGGGGGGGCUUAAGGAGCUGUACACAGCAGCCAUCCUCCUCCUGUGUGCCUCCACCUUGUGUGGUAUUGAAUGCACUGAGGAAGUCAAAUAAAAUGUCUCGCAGCCUUUUCCAGGUAAGGAAAAGUAUCUUUGUCGCAGGUAGAUAAGGGCGACAUCUACCCCGAUUCCAGCUGGGGAGGCGACCUGAAGUGGGUCCCAAGAGGAGCUCACCAGGGGGCGGAGGACCAGCCCCUCUAGGGGCUUUAUCAGGAGUAAAGGCUCUGGCAUGGUACUGCAGCUGCGGCUUUUUGCACAGUUCUCGUUUCAAUUCAUGGUUCUAAAAGGAGUAACGUUUUUUGACAACGACAACCUAGAGAAUGAUGUAUGUGGAAGUCGUUGGUUUGUUUAUUUACCCGGUCUUGCUAUCCACAUACACCUAGAAGGAUGGCAGAGGGCAACCCUACAAAGACAGUUAAUGGCGCUUUUCAUCUCCCAGGAUGGCAUCCGCGCAUCCUUGUGGUCCGCCAAUGAUGGGUCGUAUACUGCUCCUUUAACAUUUACAUCUGAUGCGGCUGCAGGAGCAGUAACAGUUGAUGGGCUCCUACUGAUUGGACAUCCUGAUUGGUAUCAAUGCCACAAGGUCCAACCACCAACACAUACAAAUGCACAGAGACACACACACACACAUUCCCUGCAGGAGGGAAUACAGCGCAAAUACGUUGGCAUGAUAACAAUUAAACAGCCCGCCUUUAUCAUCGCCGUUCAGAAAUCAAAGGACUUCACUUAAUAGAAAAACAACGAGAGAAUCACUGUUUUCACUUUGCACUGUCAAAUUAAUUUUCCUCCAUCCAUCUUCUAUACCACCUAUGCCCAGACGGUGUUGGUCCGCCCGGAGUCAAUCCCAGCUAACAUGGUUGCACAGUAGUUAACACUGUCACCUCACAGAUGGCUGGUUCAAACCUGUCGAGCAAUUUUUUGGGGUUGAGUUUGUUCCUGUGCCUUGCCUAAUCGGGUUACACAUUGAUUUCUCUAUCAUUCCCAUGGCAAAUAUGGACUGGUAGUCAUUUGAUCUAUGACAGCAGUGUUAAAUCAGUUUGAUCUCUUUAAUUAGCCCCCAACGUGGCGCCUAGACCACGCUGAGGAGCUCUGUCUUCCUUUGGCUCUGUCUGAUCUGUAAGUCUUGGCUCUAAUAACCCCAGAAGGAUACACCGAUAGCUUCAAAACACAUAUUUUAAGUGUAUUUACUUGCACCAGUAAUUAAUCUGAACUAAAAUAUAAGUCUACUUGGGCAAAACUGAGAUAAUUAUUUAGUCAAUACAUAAAGACAUCCUCGAAUGUGAAAAUGUAAAAUUGUGCCUGCUUUUAUUUUUCUUUGUAAAAACCUCAGUGCAACCAAAGGGCCUGUGAACAUUUUUUUCAGAAUAAUGUAUUUCCUGUUGUUCUGCAGUUUACACAGUUUGAGAUUCUUGCUUUUUUAUGUAAAGCCAAAUGCAAACUUUAUGAUCAUCAUAAGAGAAGCUCAUCCAUGUUGCUGUAGCAAUAGAGUUUCUGAGUGUGAGGUUUUUUGCAGUCGUAUUUCUCUCCCCUUAAUUUAAUCCUGUGGGUUGCAGGUGAUUGACAAGAAGCAGUGUGUAACAUAAUGUAGCACAAACAAAGAAAAACUGCACUCAACUUGAUCACAAUACAACAAUGCGGCCCAAACUAAUUAAAACAUUCAGAGUUAGUCUUAAGGAUUACUUGGCUCUGAGGAGAACAAGUCCUUGUGUUUCCAGCAGCUCAGACUGUGUGCAGACAGCAGAAGGAUUAGCUGAGAAAAGAGGGACAAUGGUUGAGAACACAUUGGUAUUUUCCUGCUCAUAUGUACAUAACAAAUCUGAAAUGUUUGCUGUCAAUGAUAACUAUUGGCAGCAAAUUGAUUCUGGUUAAAAUGUCAUUGUUGUUUUAGUGAAUUGACACUGUCCACACUGACCACUUAAAAUAACAUAAUCUUGAUUUAUGACUUGAUGUUAGGAUUUUACAUGAGAACCAGAGACAGCCAUCAUGAUACAGAUCUUGGAUCUGAAUCAGACUCACAAUAAAUGAGAAUAAGAGAGAAAAUUAAUAUAUUUAACCGGCACAGCUUUUCAGCCUUUCAGGUCUCCAGAGGUCUAAGAGACAUACAGACCCGUUAAGACACAUCAUGUGACAAUGCUAAGCCAGCCAAAUAUGUGUAUAAUAAUUAGCAUUGGGGGACUCAAGUAAGAUAAACUCACACAUGGCAGAUAGGGUGACAGAGACCAAACACUCAGACAGUAGUUCCAAAGUAUGUCUCAUUUUUUCUUUGCUCCACUACCAGAAAACAACAAUUCUUUUGAGCAAACAAACACACUCACCUCUGAAAUGAAGGCACAGAAAGUAAGUGAUCAAUAAAAAUAUGAUCAAUAUGAUCGGAAACGGAUUCAUUAAUUGAAUAACAACAAUGUAAACACAGAGAAAUAGAGCUGAAACAAGAGAUUUCCGUUCUCCUUUUAGAAGAUGAGAUUAUAAUAUUGUGACAUUUUUGGGAACAUCUUUUCGCAUUAAAAUGAAAGCUGUAGGACCAUUCUGGAAAAUUAAUUUCUCUGAAAUUAAGUUAUUUUUUAAUGUAUAUUUUUCAGUCAGAUACCGAUUUUUUUUUAAGCUUUCCUUGUGUUCUUGUUCUUAUUCAUCCGAUCCUCUGUUACAUGAAGACGUUAACAGCUACAGUACUUCAACAUAUGACCCCGCCAUCAUAGCACAAGUUAGGGAAUUCUGUUAAGGUUGUAACUUUCAAGUACUUUAUUCACAAUAAGUAAGACUUAUAGCUUGAGGAUAGGGGUCUUGGUCAGGGCCAGCUGGGGGUUGAACCCUGAACCCUGAGGACCCUCUCCACACUGUGCCUUUACUGAAGUUUACUUGGGACAGAAUCAUUGGCAUUGGCUUUUAUUCACUGUGACAUCACUUGAUGGGUGUGGCCAGAGGCACAACGUGCCGGAGCAGUGCAGCUUUGAACUCUUUUUUAAAAAGUGUUUGUAUUUGAUGUAAAGCUAAAUUGAGAUCCAGAAUUACAGAAUUUGAAUAUAAAAGUACACAUUAAUACAAAGAUAAUAUGAUUUACUUUAAAAUUACAAUGAACAUUUUUAAUUUUUAGUAUUGACAUAAAUUCUUAGAUAAUGAGCUAGAUAUUAAACUAACAGUUGGGAUGUUAAUUUACAGAUAAUUAGUUUUGAAUAUAAUUUAAAAAAAAACUGAAAAAAAUGGAGUUAUUUUCCGUAAAGAUAUAUGUAUUUUUAAGUCUACGUCAACCUGUUAAAUAUAGUUUGUGUUCAUGUUUUAAUAAGACAUGUUGUGUUUUCAGCUUGUUCUGUUGGACCAAGUGGCCACUUGUGUUCAUACAGCAUUAACCAAGUUCUUUUUAAUAUUGUUAUAUUCAGGAGGUCAAACGUACGUUACAGACAGAGUUACAAACAACCCUAUAGUAUUUUGUGGUUGCUGGAGGAUUUAAAAACAUCAUUUGGACAGGCUGGUAUAAUAACUUACACUGUGUUCCCAGUGAUGGGCCACCUUUUCAAAGGGGGUGAGCAUUUCUCAGCUGGAGGCCUUUGGUUUUUUGUGAAAAACAGCCAGUCUUUAAGUCCAGGCUAAAAUUGCACUAAGGGAGAGAAAAGUCUCAAACAACAGUGCUGUGCCGACUGAAUACUUUAUGACUCGCAGAAAGAGCAGCAGCAGCAGGUUCCCACCGCCAUAGUAACAACUGUGAAAAAUUAAAUUGCUCCUGCCUUUCCCCCUCAGUGUGGAGGAUUAGGGGCUGAGAGACAUACCAGGCUACCGGUGGUUACGCCUGGCUCUCAUAUGCCCCCAGUACAGGAGCCUUUCAAAGAGUGGUCAUUUUUAAUGGCUGACUUAUGCCCAUGCUGCCAUUUUAGUGACAUCUGCACAGCAAGCAGUGAUCUUCUGUACACUGCCUUCUCAUCCUACUCCUCUUUUGUUGUUUUCGCUUUCUUUCUCCGUCUGUUUUUAAAUCUAAUCAGAAUGACAUGUCUCACCUUUAUCAUCCCUCCUUUGUGCUACAUUUUAUUCCCCGUCGUUGGCUACAGGGAGCAAAGCGAGGUCGACCGCAUGUUCGUGUUGGUGUGGUGCCUCUCUAUCCCACUGCGGUAUUGAUGUGGCAUUAUGGGGCCGGGGACUCAAGAGGCUCAGAGAGAGACAGAGGAGUGAGAGGCUAAAGAGAUUUAUUGUUGGUGAAGUUUUCAGAGUGAAUGGUCCCUUUUCUGAGCCUUUUUUCUGAUUUCUACCUAAUUGGACUGGGUAACUGUGAAACGAUAUUAAAAGGUACUCUGUGUGUGUUUGUGUGUGUGUGUGUGUGUGUGUGUGUGUGUGUGUGUGUGUGUGUGUGUUGGAUAUUGCAGACAACAGCAUCCCUACUGGUCACUUCCAGAGCUGAGCUCUGCAGAUGAACGCAGUCGUCAUUCCCAUGAUGGUCAUACUAUUGGGUUGAAGUGAUGUGUCCCAGUUCCACUAUCCUGGUGUUUAUUCACAGACUGAUUGACAAGUUCAAGACUGUACAGGGUCCAUGAGGCCUCCCAGACACUGGUAAUUCUACGUCACGGAGACAUUUGUCAGAGGAGUGAGAGAAACUUUCUAUUUGGCUUAUUGACUUUCUGCUGUUUUUUAUUUUAUAUCAUUCAUGUAAUUUGUGUUUCACGUACGAAUGCUUUUUUUAUAUGAUUUCCACUCAUCAGAAAACAGAAAGUGGCUCUGCAGAGCAUGUGUAAAAGGCAAACAAAAUGAAGGUCACUCAGCAGAGCAUGUGUAAAUAGCAAAGUGAGCUUCUCUUUGCAACAUGUACACACAUAUUCUAUUCAUGGCUUGCCUGGGUUCAAAGUACUAACAAAAUGAAAUCACCCCAUUUUAUUGUGUUUUGAACCGUUUAAAAGGAUGCAAAAGCAACGUUUUAUGGUAUUAAGUAUUAAUGCAGAGUCUGUUGUAAUGCCUCUAUCUGCCGUCUCGCUCGCUGGAUUCAAAGAAAUAAAAUAAAAGUCACAGAUGGAAAAAUACAUCACAACAUUAGCAGGAUGUUGCUUUGCUUGUGUGCUAGAAAUGGAAAACACAUGAAAUCUCAGAGCAUGUUCCUCUAAUAGCUGCCCACAGUGGCUGUCUCCUGUGAAGUAAAUAACCCGGAAAUAAAAACUACCUAAAAAUACAGUUGUAGAAAUGUCCUAAGAGUUGUGCCAUUUUUCCAAAUGCACUGAUUUAUUAUUAAUAUCAGGGAGCAGAUGUAACCAGAGAGAAAGUAGUCGAAGAGGCAGCAGGAAUAUAUAUGUUCACUGUUAGUAUAAAGGAACUUUGUUUCAUUUUAAAAGUGUUUUAUUUUUUAAAAAGUUCUGGGAGAGGAACGUAAAUAUAAAAAAAUACCUCCAUGCUUAGUGAGAGAGCGAGACAUGUAGUGUUGAAGAGCUUUGAGACAGAGAUAGGAGAGGAUGUACAGUCCAUUCACCUUUUAUUCCUUAUUUCUUAAACCCUUAAACCCUUUCAUUAACAGUCACGUUUGUAAAGCUUGCUCUCAGGUCUCUCCCCAAUGUACGGCUCAAGGUUUUUAAGUAUUUCUAAACUUCAUUUGAAAAGCAGUCAAUCAGUAAAGUUCCACGGAAUUAAUUUAUUGACAACAGAACCUUUGCUGCCUCUUCCAGGUGUCCUUAUCUGCUCGCGACGCUUCCUGCACAGCUCCGUCUGAAGGCAAUGCGGCCUGCAGGCACAUGAGGCCUGUCGCUGAAUGCUAAUGUAGGUUCAUACAUAUGCAGUCUAUCAUAUUUCAAGUGCUGUGGCCGGAGUCUACAAAUCCCACUGACCAGGAGUGGAGAAUUCCAGUGAAAUGAGUCUCCAGCAGAUAACAAGAGGAGAGUCAUCUAUCGAACUGACACUGUAAACAUAACACUGGAAUUUGAAUUGAUGAUGACUCAAAAACUUGAUCGGUUGCAUAUAAGUUAAUAAUUAAGUUCAUAUAUUCUGUCAUUCUGUACAUACUUAGCAAUGAAAAACCAGGACUCUGAAUUUUUCUAUGAAAAAUUUAAACUAGAAAGCCAUCCGUGGAGAUCAUUUUAGUUUUAGUUUACUCUUUACUUACUCUCAAUGUAAUAAUAUGUAUUAUUGUGUUAAAGUUAAUACUGUUAGGAAAUGCUGGAGAAACGUAAGUGUAGUAAAACUUAAUUAAUGUAGCAGAAAUGUAUAAAAAUUAGUUUGAUAAAACUUUAUAUCAUGCAAAUGAUUAUAUUGGAUAUAUGGUAUGUAUAAUUUAAACAAUUUUAAAACAGUAUCAUGAUUUUACCGAAUGUAUUAUACAUAUUUAAUACAAUUACAUUUUAAAUUACUGAAAAACUAAAUUGUUGUAUAAUUAUAUAUAUAUGUAAUUUUCAAUUUUUUGGAAAUAUUUAAACUGUAAAUAUUUUUAAACAUAGAGAGAUUACAUUUUUCAUUAUGUUAUUUAUUAUUAAAAUCACAUCAGCAUUAACUUUACUCAGUACCAAUAUAUUAUUAUAGCUGGUGUUAGUUUUUGAAUAAUAAUCACAGUGAUUGAAUAGUUUAUUUGUCAUAUACUCAGUAAAAUAUGUAAUGGAAUGCUUUAUUUGUUCUGAAAUACUAGUGAUUCAAAAAACAUUACGAAAUGAAAAGGAUAUUAAUUUCAGAUGAAAAAGCUUCAGCCAAUAACACAACCCGAUCAAAUAUAUAUGGAGGGUUUUAAGAAACAAACUGAUGAAUUGAUUAACUAAAAAUGACACGAUUAGAGAGAGAUGGCCGAGUUCUUUAAGGUAACACUUUCAUCCCAAAUGAAAUCGUGCGAUUGGUUUAGCACAGCGCUCAGUUGUUGAGCUCUGCGAAGCUUUAUUCCACUCCACUGCUGUAGUCACUGUGCUCAAUCCCUGCCGUCGGCCACCACUGUGCCCGGUUGCUUCGUUCAAGGGUCAGAGUGCUGGGAUUAACUGAGAGAAAAAGAAGUGGAGGGAAAACUGCUUGUAACCACCCGUACCCCCCUCCCUCCAUCCCCCCGUCGCCCCUCCACCUCACCAACGGCCUCCAUCUAUAAACUCGUGCCAUCUGUUGCCUCGUGUUAAACCCUGCUUAAGAGAAACAGACCUAAAAGUCCCAAUCAAGAGCGCUGUGAAGCUCCACUGUGGGGUUAGGGCGCCACCACCAGCUCUGGCCGGGGCCGACACGGCUCGGUCGCUGACGACUACUCCACUGAUCUGAGGGCCGUGACUUUAAUUCAAAGAAACUUUGGGACGCAGGGUAGUUGAAACACAUUCAUGACAACAUUUAAGAACUAUGAAAAUAGAACUUUGGACGAGAUUUUAAUCAGUGUAAAAGUCUUUCGGGUUGCAGUAUAAUUCGUUUUUCUUAAAAGAAUAUGCCACAUAAAUGUAUGUCGUACUCCUCCCUUUUUCUUCCAUUGUAACUUUGCUCUGGGGCAAAAAGAGAAAAAGCAGGUCAAAGAGAAAGAGGAUGGAUGGACAAAAAGAAAAAUCCACACUGCAUCCAUUUGCAAACAUAAACGCAGUGUUCGGGAGCUUGGAAGGGUACGAGGGGAAUUGGGGGACGGGGAGGGGGGAGCGACGAAAAAAUCAUGUGACUGUUCGGGGGGUGAGGAAAGGCCCGUGGGACAAACACAUCAGGAGUUCAGGAAGGGGUUAGUGUGACAGGAGGAGGGUGCUGCUGUUUCCACGUCAGAUGAUGCGCCUCCUCUCCAUCGUCAUCAGCAUCAUCCCCGGCGCCACCAUCGCCGGGCCUAUCACAGAAAUCUGCAUCAGCAUCCCUCAACUCUCCAUGAACCCUGAAGUGUUUGUUAGUUUGAACACGAGGUCAGGAGAUUUUUUUGGGCUAAGUUGUUUGUGUUUGAAUCCAAAAAAACAGGUUGAAUCAGAGGCCAGUCAGUCAGCUGAAAUGACUUGAGGGCUACUUGCUGGAUUGCGGCGUGAAAUCACAUAGCACUCUAUUACGUUAAACAAUAAAAAAAUAUGUGUUAUAAUAACAUAUAUUUAUAUUAAAAAAGGCAUGUUAUAUUGUAUGGAAUAAGGAUUCUCUGAACAUAACACAUUUAUUUGAUUUAAUACUAAUCCUAAAUAUUUUUUGGAUAUAUUAUACUUUUAUUUCUACACUGCAGUUAUCAUAGCGUCUAUACAAUACAGAUACACAAACGUUUGAAUAUGUAUUUUGUUAUAUAUUUAUUUUUGUUUUAAUGUAUACUUUUAUUAACUGACUGACAUGACUGACACUACAUUUUGAUAAGAAAAUCCAUUAAGUUAAGUCAUUAAGACAUUACAACAAUAAGCAACAUUUGACAAAGCAAACAGAUCUAAUAUCCAAUAUCAGUGAUAGAAAGUAAUAAAAUAGCAUAAAAAUAGUACAUAUAAUAAAUAAUAUAUUAACAUAUAUUAUAUGUACUAUAUAUGGAUAUCAAAUAUUAUAUAAUAUUUGUGUACGUACGUAUGAAUAAACAGUAUACACAUAUAAAAUUACAAAUUAAAUGUAAGAACAAUGAUGUUGAAAAUAUAUGUACAAAUAGCAAUAUGGAUAAAAAGUGCCUUGUUUAAUACCAUUUAAAGUUUUUUUUUUUAUUUUGUAGUUUUUCACAUAUCAAAAUGAUUUAAUUGAGAAUAUAAAUUAAAUUAAAUAAGCAAGCAUACAAGUCAUCUUUUAAACCCUUUCUACAUUUUUAUAGUAUAAUCAAUAUCUACAUGUACAAUAAACUAGGGAAAAUAUACACUUUUUACACAGUUUAACUGAAACAGUGUGACUUAAACCUGCUGAUCAUAACAAACAGCACUACAUAUGUUUUGUAAAUCAAUUAAUAGGCUUAAAGUAGAAAAGUUUUACUGACGGAUGAGUAUACAAAUGUACAUACAAAAAAUCUAUACAAAUACAAAUACAAAUACAAAAUCUAGCAAAACUAGAGAUAAACAACCUAAAAAAGCAAACACAAAAAUACUGGUGAAAAAAACGAAUAGCAGCGGUACAAUGACUACACUAUCGAGACCCGGCAAAAGACAAGUUCACUAUGAGGGAAUUACAUUAACAUAUUGAAAAGAAAACCCACAAAUAGAAACUUUAUACACAUGCAUAUACAUUAUUUUAAUGAAUGUAUUCAUUUUUGUUUGAU